AGGAAGUAGAUCCAAUCGAAUCCUCUCACCCUCAACGGAGCGCUGCACCUCCGGCUUGUGGCGUCAGCCUUCUCUCCCUCCUCGCCAGAUUUCGUCUUCGCCAUCAAGAGGUGUUAAGGGAGGCGCCCGCGACGCGACGACGGCUGGGAGAAGCGGCGCAUUGGCGGACAGAUGGACAUCAGCGCAUGUGCAACACAUAGCAGCGGCGGCUGUAAGGCCACGGCGGACGAGCAGGUGGUGCGGCUGAGGGCGGGAGAAGAGAGGCCGGGCUGCGCCGGAGGCGGAGCUCGGCCGCGAGCGUGGCACGCAGAGGGCAGUGCCGCGCGAGCGCCCUGCAGCCGCAUCACCGAGCGGCAACCCCGCCGCCACACUACUGCACGAGGGCAGCGCCACCGCAUCGCCGAGCCACAGCCCGGCCGUUCCCGGCCGGAGGUCGCCGACGCCUUUCCCAACUUUUGGGUUGGCACCCUGAUCGGACGCCUCCCUUUUGGUUAACAUGUUUCUAUGAAAUUGAACAUUUCAGUAACAUUCUGCUGUGUGUUCACAACUUCACAUUAAUUCAGAAAUUGUAUGUAUGAGUCGACUGCAUCCGAUGUUGUGCUUCUCCUGUUCCCUUGAAAGGAUUGCUGGAUGGAAAGAUGUUUUUGCUUUCAGGAUUUCUGGUGUGUGUACGACCCUCUAAGUAACUCUUUUUCAUCUCAUGCAGCAGCAGAGGCUUAGAGGAAGGCGCUGCAGCGUGGAUGCACAUGGGAUGCUGCAGAUACAUGUGCCAAAGAGGAGGAGAGUAUGAAAGGAUAGAGGAGUCAGGAAGGACCGAAGGAGAAAUCAUAUGAACAUGAACCUGAUGAUGACCCAUAGUUGGAUGUAUGUGAGAGGUA
Long non-coding RNA from Triticum dicoccoides, 878 nucleotides. RefSeq lists it as uncharacterized. The record is from RefSeq and is a predicted model, not a curated record. The transcript is spliced from 3 exons. Lineage: Eukaryota; Viridiplantae; Streptophyta; Magnoliopsida; Poales; Poaceae.